This 253-nucleotide ribosomal RNA is filed under the name uncultured bacterium. RNAcentral describes it as "partial 16S ribosomal RNA". It matches the Rfam family "Bacterial small subunit ribosomal RNA", at positions 524 to 776 of the family's 1533-position model. The record is from RNAcentral.
GACGAGGGGUCCAAGCGUUGUUCGGAAUCAUUGGGCGUAAAGCGGGUGUAGGUGGCUUUGUAAGUCAGGAGUGAAAUCCCCGAGCUUAACUUGGGAAGUGCUUUUGAAACUGCAGAGCUUGAGUGUGGGAGAGGAUCGUGGAAUUCCAGGUGUAGUGGUGAAAUACGUAGAUAUCUGGAGGAACACCGGUGGCGAAGGCGGCGAUCUGGCCCAACACUGACACUGAGACCCGAAAGCGUGGGGAUCAAACAGG